RNAcentral lists this ribosomal RNA (425 nucleotides) under uncultured Azospira sp. RNAcentral's name for it is "bacterial SSU rRNA". It matches the Rfam family "Bacterial small subunit ribosomal RNA", at positions 356 to 774 of the family's 1533-position model. Lineage: Bacteria; Pseudomonadati; Pseudomonadota; Betaproteobacteria; Rhodocyclales; Rhodocyclaceae. The record is from RNAcentral.
GGGGAAUUUUGGACAAUGGGGGCAACCCUGAUCCAGCCAUGCCGCGUGAGUGAAGAAGGCCUUCGGGUUGUAAAGCUCUUUCGGCGGGGAAGAAAUGGCAACGGCUAAUUUCCGUUGUUGAUGACGGUACCUGCAUAAGAAGCACCGGCUAACUACGUGCCAGCAGCCGCGGUAAUACGAAGGGUGCAAGCGUUACUCGGAAUUACUGGGCGUAAAGCGGCGUAGGUGGUUUCGUAAGACAGACGUGAAAUCCCCGGGCUCAACCUGGGAGAUGCGUUUGUGACAGUGAGGCUAGAGUACGGCAGAGGGGAGUAGAAUUCCACGUGUAGCAGUGAAAUGCGUAGAGAUGUGGAGGAAUACCGAUGGCGAAGGCAGCCCCCUGGGUUAGUACUGACGCUCAUGCACGAGAGCGUGGGGAGCAAACA